RNAcentral lists this ribosomal RNA (410 nucleotides) under uncultured bacterium. Its description in RNAcentral is "bacterial SSU rRNA". It matches the Rfam family "Bacterial small subunit ribosomal RNA", at positions 370 to 772 of the family's 1533-position model. The record is from RNAcentral.
AAUGGGGGCAACCCUGAUCCGGUCAUGCCGCGUGAGUGAAGAAGGCCUUCGGGUUGUAAAGCUCUUUCGGCCGGGAAGAAAUCGCAUGGGUGAAUACCCUGUGUGGAUGACGGUACCGGAACAAGAAGCACCGGCUAACUACGUGCCAGCAGCCGCGGUAAUACGUAGGGUGCGAGCGUUAAUCGGAAUUACUGGGCGUAAAGCGUGCGCAGGCGGUGAUGUAAGACAGAUGUGAAAUCCCCGGGCUCAACCUGGGAGCUGCGUCUGUGACUGCAUCACUCGAGUACGGCAGAGGGAGGUGGAAUUCCACGUGUAGCAGUGAAAUGCGUAGAGAUGUGGAGGAACACCGAUGGCGAAGGCAGCCUCCUGGGCCAGUACUGACGCUCAUGCACGAAAGCGUGGGGAGCAAA